RNAcentral lists this long non-coding RNA (1166 nucleotides) under Struthio camelus australis. RNAcentral describes it as "lncRNA (ENSSCUG00000016148.1)". Lineage: Eukaryota; Metazoa; Chordata; Aves; Struthioniformes; Struthionidae. The record is from RNAcentral.
CCCCGCCGCUGGGCCCCUCUGUCCCCAGCGUCCCUCCCGCCGGCGGCGGACGCGCGGCACAGCUGCGAACUCGCCCCAGGUCUCCAGGUUUGGAGAUAUUUGCCGGAGCUGCCUUUCCCACACGGUGUCCUUUUCCUGUGCGUUGCAGGGAGGAAGUAACAGCUCCUACCUGCCCCUUUCCGUCCUUAAAAUCGAAGACGACUAGCACCGUGCGCGACUGCCCCGCGUCGCCCCGGCCGUGCUUUCUGCUUCUGCCUGCCUCGGUGCCUUCCUGCGCCUGGGAGGGUGUAUAGUUCGGAUUAGGAAACAGGGUUUUCUGCUGAGGCAUCUGUUUUCAUUCCCGUCUGUGGGCUCGCCCGGCCGUUUUGCACGGCCGCGUGGGGCCAGGCGCGGCCAAAUUUGAGCGUGGUUGUUAUUCCCGGGGCCUGGCGACGUUCGGGGGACGGGGAUUUUUCAUGCGAUAAUGCAAAAGCCGUUCCCCCGCUCAGACAACCUGGAAAACGUUAAUUACAAUUGGUUGUAAAUGUUCCUACUGACACAAAGCCCCGCGUGGGCCGGCGCCGGGGGCAGCAGCUCUCCCUCCUCCCCGGGCAGCCGCCAAAGACCGCGAUCCUGCUCGUACGGUGCCAUGGAAGGGGACCUGAGAGCACGUGGUAAUGACUGAGGGGACAAGAGCAGAUCAGUAGCUAGAAAAUCCUAUUUACUCAGUUUAGUUAACUUUUGGGAAUUUUUGCUUUCUUUUUAUUUGUCUUCUGAGUUUUGAGCCACUGAGUUUUUAAGCAUUUCUCUCCAAACACACAGGAUAGAAACCUUCAUUGUAAUAACCUGGCCAUGGAAGUCUUCACGUUAUAACAUGACUGCAGGAAGUGACGAUUCAGAGGCAGACGAGGAAGCUCGCUAUGUUUGAUGACAUAUCCAGAACCGUUCUGUGCUUGCGCUCGGCCUACCCAACGUUUUUGCCCCUCCUAAAGCCUCUGAGCAACGUUGUCGUAGGGAGUGUUCCCGUCUUUCAAGAGGGGAAAAAAGCCUUGCUGUUCGUUCUUCUGGUUCCCUCUGGCGCCUUAGGAUGGGUGAUGAUACUAAACCAGAGCGAAAGGUCAUUGAACCUGUCCUGGAGAGCUCCUCAGGAUACCAGGAAAAGGAACCGGCACUCCGAGAAACUAUGA